UACGUAGGGUGCGAGCGUUAAUCGGAAUUACUGGGCGUAAAGCGUGCGCAGGCGGUUUUGUAAGCCAGGUGUGAAAUCCCCGGGCUCAACCUGGGAAUGGCAUUUGGGACUGCAAGGCUGGAGUGCGGCAGAGGAGACUGGAAUUCCUGGUGUAGCAGUGAAAUGCGUAGAUAUCAGGAGGAACACCGAUGGCGAAGGCAGGUCGUCUGGGCUGACACUGACGCUCAUGCACGAAGCGUGG
This 241-nucleotide ribosomal RNA is filed under the name uncultured bacterium. RNAcentral's name for it is "partial 16S ribosomal RNA". It matches the Rfam family "Bacterial small subunit ribosomal RNA", at positions 524 to 764 of the family's 1533-position model. The record is from RNAcentral.